This is a long non-coding RNA of Haplochromis burtoni (Burton's mouthbrooder), 334 nucleotides long. RefSeq annotates it as adhesion G-protein coupled receptor D2. NCBI's taxonomy places the organism in Eukaryota, Metazoa, Chordata, Actinopteri, Cichliformes, Cichlidae. The record is from RefSeq and is a predicted model, not a curated record.
CCCAGACGCUGGUGGGUGGUGGAAUACCAAGGGCUGUGAAAUAGUGUCCAAGCAGUAUGGAUAUACUGUGUGCUACUGCAACCACACCACCAACUUUGCAUUACUGCUGCAGGUGUAUGAAGCCCAGAGGAGCCCAGAGAAUGAAAAAGCUCUGCAGGUGCUGACGUUCAUUGGCUGUGGAGUGUCUCUGUGUGGCCUCCUCUUCACCUUCAUCCUCUUCAUCUCCGUGGGUGUCCCUAAAUCAGACCGCACAACUGUCCAUAAGAACCUUAUAGUUGCUCUGGGAGUGGCUGAGCUGCUGUUGAUGUGCAGCAGUUGGGCUUCUGAAAACGAG